GACGAACGCUGGCGGGCGUGCCUAACACAUGCAAGUCGAGCGGAGUCGAUCGACGGAAGCCUUCGGGCGGAAGAUGGUUGACUUAGCGGCGGAUGGGUGAGUAACGCGUGGGCAACCUGCCUCGAAGACCGGGAUAACAGCCCGAAAGGGCUGCUAAUACCGGAUGUGGUCAAAGAUCCGCAUGGAUUUUGAUUAAAGGGGAAACCCGUUUCGAGAUGGGCCCGCGUCCUAUCAGCUAGUUGGUGAGGUAAAAGCUCACCAAGGCGACGACGGGUAGCCGGCCUGAGAGGGUGACCGGCCACACUGGAACUGAGACACGGUCCAGACUCCUACGGGGGGCAGCAGUGGGGAAUCUUCCACAAUGGGCGAAAGCCUGAUGGAGCGACGCCGCGUGAGCGAAGAAGGCCUUCGGGUUGUAAAGCUCUGUCUGGAGGGACGAAGGAAGUGACGGUACCUCCGGAGGAAGCCACGGCUAACUACGUG
Molecule: ribosomal RNA, 483 nt
Filed under: uncultured bacterium
Lineage: Bacteria
Description: bacterial SSU rRNA
Rfam family: Bacterial small subunit ribosomal RNA
Source: RNAcentral